Molecule: ribosomal RNA, 749 nt
Filed under: uncultured archaeon
Lineage: Archaea
Description: bacterial SSU rRNA
Rfam family: Archaeal small subunit ribosomal RNA
Source: RNAcentral
UGUGAGUCAUUGCAGUAAUGCAAGGCAGACGGCUCAGUAACACGUAGUCAACCUACCCUAUAGACGGGGAUAACCUCAGGAAACUGAGGAUAAACCCCGAUAGAUCAUUAUGCCUGGAACGGUUUAUGGUCCAAAUGAUUCGUCGCUAUAGGAUGGGACUGCGGCCUAUCAGCUUGUUGGUGAGGUAAUGGCCCACCAAGACUAUUACAGGUACGGGCUCUGAGAGGAGUAGCCCGGAGAUGGGUACUGAGACACGGACCCAGGCCCUAUGGGGCGCAGCAGGCGAGAAAACUUUGCAAUGUGCGAAAGCACGACAAGGUUAAUCCGAGUGAUUCCUGCUAAAGGAAUCUUUUGUUAGUCAUAAUACCACUAACGAAUAAGGGGUGGGCAAGUUCUGGUGUCAGCCGCCGCGGUAAAACCAGCACCUCAAGUGGUCAGGAUGAUUAUUGGGCCUAAAGCAUCCGUAGCCGGCUUUGUUAGUUUUCGGUUAAAUCCAUAUGCUCAACAUAUGGGCUGCCGGGAAUACUGCAAAGCUAGGGAGUGGGAGAGGUAGACGGUACUCCGUAGGAAGGGGUAAAAUCCUUUGAUCUAUGGAUGACCACCUGUGGCGAAGGCGGUCUACCAGAACACGUCCGACGGUGAGGGAUGAAAGCUGGGGGAGCAAACCGGAUUAGAUACCCGGGUAGUCCCAGCUGUAAACUAUGCAAACUCAGUGAUGCAUUGGCUUGUGGCCAGUGCAGUGCCGCAGG